ACUAUCAUGCAUUAAAUUUGAAACCGACCUUGAAUACAAUUUGUCAUCCAUACAUCCAAAAUAUGGUUUUUUUUACUAGAGAACUAGACAUGAAUUAACGUAAAUAAUCUUACACAAUCUUAACAAGCAUCAUCAUAUCAAAAGCUCAUAAAAUAUAUAUAUAUAUAGCAUCUUCUAAUUAAUCACCAUAGCAGCCCAUGCCGCAGCCGCCACUUUUCUUGCCCGUCCCGCUCUUCCAGCUCCCUCUCCCGCUCCUCCUCCCUCCGGCGCCGGCGCCAUCGCCGGCGACAGCGACAGCGUUGCCGCUGCCGUCAACUUCGAACAUGAUCAGCCGCGCCUCCGAAUCCCUCAGCUCGUCGUCGAGCUCGUCGUGCUGCGUGCGGACGUUCACGCAGGAGCACCGCUCGAGGGAGGCGAAGAACGCCGCGGCGAUGCCN
RNAcentral lists this long non-coding RNA (437 nucleotides) under Oryza brachyantha (malo sina). RNAcentral's name for it is "long non-coding RNA (OBRA_LNC000884)". The record is from RNAcentral. Lineage: Eukaryota; Viridiplantae; Streptophyta; Magnoliopsida; Poales; Poaceae.